Molecule: non-coding RNA, 890 nt
Organism: Pelobates cultripes (western spadefoot toad)
Lineage: Eukaryota; Metazoa; Chordata; Amphibia; Anura; Pelobatidae
Source: the annotation of a GenBank genome assembly
GGGCAAUAAGUGAGGAUGGACGAUGUGAGUGUGACUAGUGACAGGGUGACCAUGGAAGACACUGGGCAUGAACUAUGAUAAUGUUACUAGUGGCAUAGUGAUCUGCGCAGACACUUGGCAUUUACUAUGUGAGUGGCAUGGACCAUGGUUGUGUUACUAGUAACAGAAUGGCCAGGGCACUCACUGGGCAUGGGUAAUGGGACUAGUGACAGGUUGAAGGAUCAGCCCUCACUGCUUAGUGGAAAUGAUCAGCUCGGUGACACAGCAAGAGUUCAAGCCACACAUAUUGUGGGAUAUUCUCCAGUGGGAAUCAAUCAGUUGGUGGGCAGAUGGAGAAUGGACACUUUGUGACUUUACAGGAUGAUGUAAGUGUGUUAGAGAGAAUUUGUUAGCAGUACUAUUGGAAUCUGUCAACAUGUGUGUAAUGUAUUGUAAGGUCACACAGAACCCACUAGAUUUGCCAAUAAAGAUCAAAAAGAAUUGAUGUAAGAAGAAUGAUCCUUCCUCAUGGACUUAAUCUUUCUCAUUGAAAAGGGCAAUCUGAUAUCAUCUAAUACAUUUUCUGUCGGUCCUAGUUUUAUGUAAGCCUGGAAGUCUGUAAUAAGGUUUGAAUAAGAUUACAGAAAACCAUUUUAACUCAAUAAGCAAUAGCUACCUUCAUUUAAAUCCACUCUAUGGAGAAAUUGCUUUAUGUGUAUGUUGGUAUCAGUGUGUGUAUUUGUGUGUGGGUAUAAGUGUGUCUGUAGUGUGGGAGUCUAUGUGUGUGAAUAUCAGUGCGAUUAUAUAUGUGUCUGUGUAUAUAGAUAUUAGUUUGGGACAGUGGUUUGGGUGUCAUUGUGUAUAUUAACGGUAUAUAGUGUAUGGGCAUCUGUGUUAGUGUGGAUGUUAAC